RNAcentral lists this ribosomal RNA (1216 nucleotides) under human gut metagenome. RNAcentral's name for it is "bacterial LSU rRNA". It matches the Rfam family "Bacterial large subunit ribosomal RNA", at positions 840 to 2079 of the family's 2925-position model. The record is from RNAcentral.
CGGAGAUAGCUGGUUCUCCCCGAAAUAGCUUUAGGGCUAGCCUUGAGUUAGACACAUGGAGGUAGAGCACUGAAUCGCCGCGGGGGCGUCAAAGCUUACCAAAGCCUAUCAAACUCCGAAUGCCAUGUUGCCGAUGCUCAGGAGUCAGACUGCACGAGAUAAGUUGGGUAGUCGAGAGGGAAAGAGCCCAGAUCACCAGCUAAGGUCCCAAAGUACAUGUUAAGUGGUAAAGGAUGUGAGAUUUCGAAGACAACUAGGAUGUUGGCUCAGAAGCAGCCAUUCAUUCAAAGAGUGCGUAAUAGCUCACUAGUCGAGAGGUCCUGCGCCGAAAAAUGUCCGGGGCUAAAACAUGACACCGAAGCUGUGGAAUCAUUUAUGAUUGGUAGGGGAGCAUUGCUAAAGAAACGAAGCAGUACCGUAAGGAGCUGUGGAUUUUUAGGAAGAGAGAAUGCCGGAAUGAGUAGCGAGACGAAGGUGAGAAUCCUUCGGGCCGAAUAUCUAAGGUUUCCAGAGUAAAGCUGAUCUGCUCUGGGUAAGUCGGGACCUAAGGCGAGGACGAAAGUCGUAGUCGAUGGAUAACAGGUGGAGAUUCCUGUACUUCAUAUAUUCAGAACUGUGGGGACACAGGCAGAGAGCCAGAGCCGGGAAUGGAAAGACCGGUACAAGCGAGGUAGUCGUGCUGCAGGCAAAUCCGCAGCAUAAGACGAAGACGUGAUGUGGAGCGAACCAAAGGGUAGCGAAGCUGGUGAGCUGGCUGUCGAGAAAAGCCGCUAUAGCGAUAUAUGAACCCGUACCGUAAACCGACACAGGUGGAUGAGGAGAGAAUCCUAAGGCCGACGGGAGAAGCAUUGUUAAGGAACUCGGCAAAAUGACCCCGUAACUUCGGGAGAAGGGGUGCCUGCUAACGCAGGCCGCAGAGAAUAGGUCCAAGCAACUGUUUAGCAAAAACACAGGUCUAUGCGAAACCGAAAGGUGAAGUAUAUGGGCUGACGCCUGCCCGGUGCUGGAAGGUUAAGAGGAGGGCUUAGGAGCAAUCCGAAGGUCUGAAUUUAAGCCCCAGUAAACGGCGGCCGUAACUAUAACGGUCCUAAGGUAGCGAAAUUCCUUGUCGGGUAAGUUCCGACCCGCACGAAAGGCGUAAUGAUUUGGACGCUGUCUCGACAAUGCACCCGGUGAAAUUGAAAUACCAGUGAAGAUGCUGGUUACCCGCGCCAGG